GAUGAACGCUGGCGGCGUGCCUAAUACAUGCAAGUCGAGCGAACGGACGAGAAGCUUGCUUCUCUGAUGUUAGCGGCGGACGGGUGAGUAACACGUGGAUAACCUACCUAUAAGACUGGGAUAACUUCGGUAAACCGGAGCUAAUACCGGAUAAUAUUUUGAACCGCAUGGUUCAAAAGUAAAAGACGGUCUUGCUGUCACUUAUAGAUGGAUCCGCGCUGCAUUAGCUAGUUGGUAAGGUAACGGCUUACCAAGGCAACGAUGCAUAGCCGACCUGAGAGGGUGAUCGGCCACACUGGAACUGAGACACGGUCCAGACUCCUACGGGAGGCAGCAGUAGGGAAUCUUCCGCAAUGGGCGAAAGCCUGACGGAGCAACGCCGCGUGAGUGAUGAAGGUCUUCGGAUCGUAAAACUCUGUUAUUAGGGAAGAACAUAUGUGUAAGUAACUGUGCACAUCUUGACGGUACCUAAUCAGAAAGCCACGGCUAACUACGUG
This 497-nucleotide ribosomal RNA is filed under the name uncultured bacterium. RNAcentral's name for it is "partial 16S ribosomal RNA". It matches the Rfam family "Bacterial small subunit ribosomal RNA", at positions 28 to 507 of the family's 1533-position model. The record is from RNAcentral.